ACUGGGACGUCUCCAUGGUGGGCUUGGGGUUGUGCCAGUUUCUUGCAUGUUCCGGGUACUUGGGGCCUGAGCGGUCCCGGCCACCCGUUUCUGGGCUCACGCAGUGCCUGGUGCCAGGAUGGAGUGGGGUUUGGUAUGUGGGGGUGCUGGGGCAGGAGCGGUGUGCCCCAGCUGAGCUGUUGGGGGGGGGUGGGAGUCUGGCAUGAGCAAAGGGAGGGCUGGGCUGUACAGUGGUGGCUGGAGGGGAGGCCACAGGUCAUGCCUGGUGGUGGUGAGAGUUGUGUGCAUCUUGCCUAGCCUGGGGUGUGGGGGUGUGGCUGUGUUCACCUGUGGGCUCUUCAGUUGGGCUGGGGGUGAAUAGCAGGGGCCUGUACAAAUCAAGCGAUGCGUUGUGCAAUUACUUAUCAUCCCCUGGCUGAUUCCUAGGCUGUCCCUAAGCAGUGGUUUUCAAACCCUCUGGCUAGUCACCCCUUGAAAGUUCUCAUCAGGAAGCCACAUCUGGAAUAUUCCUUAAACCAGCUGAGGGUCAGCUGUCCAGGUUCUGUCCCCUCCCAGCUCCUUGUGUGCCCCCAGCCUGCACACUGGCAGGGUGGUAUGAGAAGCUGAGAAGUCUCUGGUUUCCUGAAAGCACUGCUCUGUAACAGUUAAAACAUCAGUGUGUUACCAGUGUGAGUCAUUUUAAAUGCAAAACAGAGCACUACACAAGGUACUGGGAGGAAAAUACUUCCAGUCCAAACCAGGAUGGAGUGUUGCAUGAGAGUUGAAGCUGGAACUGCUGGUGAGAAGGAGAGCUGUGAAGUAGGUAAGGGGUCUGGGAGCUGGGCAGGUGCUCUCCCCUGCCAGAGGGGCCUUGUUUGGUGUUCAAGGAUCUGCAACUGUGUGUGUUCUCGUGAAAAAGGGGAGUGCUGCAUGUGUGCCUGCAGUAGUGGACUUGUAUCCUCCCUAGCUGGAGAGGAAGAAGGGGACUUGACUGAGUCUUAGGUUUCCAUGAGUUGUGUCAAAGAUUGCCUUUGGCUCAGGCAGCUUGGGUGAUAGAGCUUUCUGUAUCCGGUUUGUCCCUUGUAACUGUGCUCAACUGUGUUAGCAUUCAAACUUGGGAAAGUGUUUUGCCUGUAAAUGUCUGGAAUAUUUGCAUGUGCUCCACCACCAAGAUUAAGGGUGGAUCUGAGAGACUGUUGCUAUGUUGCAUUAUCUCUUGUACUUGUUUUAGAUAGAGAAAAUAAGACAGUCAACUAGUAAAGGUGUGUCUUCACCAUGCCAGACCUUUCUCGUGUGGUUUCCUCUAAAGAUGCUUUGAAAAUACAGAGCUGUUUCUAUAUUCCAUAGGGAAUUACAGAAUAGAUACAAUCAACUGUUUCUUCCUGAAGGCAAAGAGGUUUUUGCCCAAGGAUUUUGAGAGAAUGGUAACUUCCAAAUGAAAAGGAAAAGAAAUAAUGAUGGAUGUACCUUCGCUGCUUCUCUGGUGAGAGAAUACAGCAGUUCAGCAGUCAUUGAUGUAACCAGUCAUAUGUCACUCAGCUUGCUGAAGUACCAUAAAACAACUAUGGAUCAAGAAAGAAAACAUGAGCUUUACUGUUAUCCUCAUCACUGACUAGAGGGCCUGCGAUUUUUUGUUCUUACUGAUUUUGCACUGCUUGUCCUGUAUUUCUUAGCUGUCCUCCUCAUUUUGGAACAGUGGGAACUUCCGCUGACCCCUGAUCUGCUUAUCAUUAUGUGAGAAGAAUCUUUUUUUUUUCAGACAGGGUCUUCUGUGAAGCUGUUUUAUUUGCUAUGGA
Long non-coding RNA from Cygnus olor (mute swan), 1775 nucleotides. RefSeq lists it as uncharacterized. The transcript has 4 exons. The record is from RefSeq and is a predicted model, not a curated record. Lineage: Eukaryota; Metazoa; Chordata; Aves; Anseriformes; Anatidae.